This is an RNA transcript of Tripterygium wilfordii, 2430 nucleotides long. RefSeq lists it as uncharacterized. The transcript is spliced from 3 exons. NCBI's taxonomy places the organism in Eukaryota, Viridiplantae, Streptophyta, Magnoliopsida, Celastrales, Celastraceae. The record is from RefSeq and is a predicted model, not a curated record.
AGAAUACCUUAAUAUGUACUCCAUCAUGGUUCAAGGCAACUUGUUCUAGUUUAAUAUCUGUAGCAAUCAAGUAAAGAAAGCUUUUAGCAAUUGUUAACAUAAAGAACUGUGAUUUAUGUUGCUUGUUCUGUAGCCAGAGAAGACAUAAAGUACUCCACAACCUUGUAUUGAUUUGUUGAAAAAAAUAGGAAGUAUCGGGCGAAGAAGCCAAGGAUUGCACUUGUUUUUGAGGGGCAAAGGAAAUGCUACUGUUGUUGGCCAUUACCUUCAAUAAUGUCUUUCACAGGUGGGUGAAUUUCUUUAAUCAAAGGUCGUCGUCCUUCCUUGAAACUCUUUCAUCUUUUUGCUUCUGUUCAGUGACCUUUCUUCCGUGGUUAGGGGCAACCUUUUGUUCUUUUAAUCAGCAGUUACAGACAACUAGUGGCAAUGCAGAAACAGUGUUGAGGGGCCAAUGGCAAUGAGAGGAAACAACAUAAGGGCCCAAUGACUUGUAGGUAAUUACAAGCUAGUCUCAUCCUUUCGAUUUCGAAGCAUAAUUUUUGUCAUUUUUAUACUAGCAGCAAUUGCAGGUCGAAGAAAGAGAUAACUUUAUUAAAUGUUACUUAGAAGGGCAAGGCAAUAUAAAAAAAAAUUGAUUGUUUGACUAAAGGACGACAUUAAUUUAUAUAGAAAAAGGUUUACAUGAAUGGACAUGAAAUCGUCCACGUCUCCCUCGGUUUCAACCUCGUACACUCUUGCCGACAAGAUUCGACUAGAAAAGGAGUAGCCCCCGAUUGUAAUUUACUUUUUCUACCAAACAUAUUUAAUUGUAAAUUACUACCUUGGUUCCACCUUCACCUAGUGUUGGGGGGGCCUGAGGGGCCAUUCAGAAAGCAAUCAUGCAAAAUGUGGCUAAAAUGCUUAUAAUCAUUGUGGUAGGUGAAUCCAUAUAAGGUUAUUGUACCAAAACAAGAUGAUAAAUAUUCUUAACUGUUCAAUUGAACGAACACGAUUCAAAUGAAUUCGUGAGAAUCAUAUGUCAUAUAUUAUGUACAUAAAAUCUUGUGCAUAUAAUUGAGUAAUUAAGAUAAUUGGGAUAUCAAUUGAGAUAAUUGGGAUAUCAGUUGUUGAAAAAUCUUAUUAUUACAGCUAUCAAAAAUAAUGAGGUCAGAGAGUUUUAUUUUUAAAAAGAGAAAGUAUAUGGAGACAAUGGUCAUGUAGUUGUUUUCAAAACUUUUAUCUCUGUCAUGUAAAAUAGUAAAAAAUGGAAGUGCUAAUAAAAAAUAGGGCUCUAUUACUAGUUAGUGGAGGUCGUAAAUACAUGAGCAAGUACUCUUGUUUGAUAAAUAGAAGAGGUUUUUUUUAUAAUAGUAUUUGUGACGGGAUGUAAUUUAAAUGGUUUUUGUUAUUUAUACUUUAUUAUUUCUUAGCCUGUUAGGUGUAAUUUUUACUUUUCGUACAAUGAAUUGUUGGGGCUUCAUCUCUUUUUUAAAACAAAGUCGACGCGUGAAAGAUUUUGUGAUAUGCGUUGAUGCACAAGAAAACCAAAAAACCAAAAAAGUUUCCUUAAAUAUUUGUAUAAGAUAACAUUAUUGAGCAUUCCUCCACCAACGAGAGUUCUUGGUUGUUAAUUGAUUGAAUUAAACAUAUGUGUGUUGAAGGUUCGAUUUUAAUUGUAAAUAUAAUUCUCUUGUGGUUUUUUGUAGAAAAAAGAAAGAGUAGUCACUUUUCUUUUAUUUUCUUUAUAUUUAUGAUCGCAAUUUCACGAUUACACCAAUAAUGUUGACUAACCUAAUCGUUGGAUCGAGUCGACUACACCAUCAAUGUUGACCUUUAGGACUGGAGUGGGUUGGGCAGUGCCCCUUCAAGCCUUGAAAAAAGUAGACAGACGUGGCGGAAUAGGAAUGGUGGGAGGAGGAUAACAUUUAGUCGAUCGGCUACAGCCAGUCAAAUAGUGGCAAUCAUAGAAGUGGGGUUGGUGGAAGUUACCACAAAUGGAAACUAAUAUAAAUCGAAAGAUUUUAAGGUAGGAGGAUUACCAUAAGAGGAAGGUUGCGUGACUAGGAAAAGCAUUAUUCCUCUCUCCACUAUAUUUUCACAGCCACGUAUAGAUCCUCCUUUGGGUUUUCUUUUGGUGGUCAUGUGUUCAAUACCCCAAUCCCAACUUGCUUAUAAAAAAAAGUAAAGAAAAAUGCUAUGCGAUCGAGUAUUCUUAGGGCAUUAGAUAAAUCACAUAAAUAUAUUUUACUCUUAUUAUAAGAUAACAUUAGUGAAACAUAACACAAUUUUAGAUGAACAUUUUGAAACAUUUAAUAUUGGAUAACAAAAUGAAAUUUGAACGUCUUUCGAUGACCUAAAAUUAUGGGCCUGUUUGGGCAACAAUUUUAACUAGCAUUUAUACUACUUUGGUUGUUUGCCAAACAACAAUUUGUAGUCACAUAAUCCGAGAGU